Molecule: ribosomal RNA, 955 nt
Filed under: uncultured Anaerococcus sp.
Lineage: Bacteria; Bacillati; Bacillota; Tissierellia; Tissierellales; Peptoniphilaceae
Description: bacterial SSU rRNA
Rfam family: Bacterial small subunit ribosomal RNA
Source: RNAcentral
CAGCAGCCGCGGUAAUACGUAUGGACCGAGCGUUGUCCGGAAUCAUUGGGCGUAAAGGGUACGUAGGCGGCCCAGUAAGUUAGAAGUGAAAUAAUAUAGCUCAACUAUAUAAAGCUUUUAAAACUGCUAGGCUUGAGAGAUGGAAGGGAAAGUGGAAUUCCUAGUGUAGCGGUGAAAUGCGCAGAUAUUAGGAAGAAUACCGGUGGCGAAGGCGACUUUCUGGUCAUCAUCUGACGCUGAGGUACGAAAGCUUGGGUAGCAAACAGGAUUAGAUACCCUGGUAGUCCACGCUGUAAACGAUGAGUGUUAGGUUCUUGGAAUAAUCUGGGAGCCGCAGCUAACGCAUUAAACACUCCGCCUGGGGAGUACGCACGCAAGUGUGAAACUCAAAGGAAUUGACGGGGACCCGCACAAGCAGCGGAGCAUGUGGUUUAAUUCGACGCAACGCGAAGAACCUUACCAAGUCUUGACAUAAUACGGAGGGAAUUAGAGAUAGUUUCUUAAGACUUCGGUCUACUGUAUUACAGGUGGUGCAUGGUUGUCGUCAGCUCGUGUCGUGAGAUGUUGGGUUAAGUCCCAUAACGAGCGCAACCCCUAUCGUUAGUUACCAUCAUUAAGUUGGGGACUCUAGCGAUACUGCCGGUGAUAAACCGGAGGAAGGUGGGGACGACGUCAAAUCAUCAUGCCCUUUAUGACUUGGGCUACACACGUGCUACAAUGGCAGAUACAGAGGGCAGCGAAAGAGCGAUCUGAAGCGAAACUCAAAAAACCUGUCCCAGUUCGGAUUGUACUCUGCAACUCGAGUACAUGAAGUUGGAGUUGCUAGUAAUCGCGAAUCAGAAUGUCGCGGUGAAUGCGUUCCCGGGUCUUGUACACACCGCCCGUCACACCAUGGGAGUUGGCAAUACCCGAAGCCUGUGAGCGAACCUUUUAGGACGCAGCAGUCGAAGGUAGG